GAUGAACGCUGGCGGCGUGCCUAAUACAUGCAAGUCGAACGAAGGUAGCAAUACCUUAGUGGCGAACGGGUGAGUAACACGUAGGUAACCUGCCUUUCAGUUGGGGAUAACCGAGGGAAACUUUGGCUAAUACCGAAUUCGUGCUUCGAAGGCAUCUUCGGAGCAUAAAAGGGGCCUUUAAAGCCUCGCUGAUUGAUGGACCUGCGGCGCAUUAGUUAGUUGGUGAGAUAACAGCCCACCAAGACGAGGAUGCGUAGCCGACCUGAGAGGGUGAUCGGCCACACUGGAACUGAGACACGGUCCAGACUCCUACGGGAGGCAGCAGUAGGGAGUUUUCGGCAAUGGGGGAAACCCUGACCGAGCAACGCCGCGUGAGUGAUGAAGGUCUUCGGAUUGUAAAGCUCUGUUAUAAGGGAAGAACGGCAGCUAGAGGAAAUGCUAGCUGUUUGACGGUACUUUAUGAGAAAGCCACGGCUAACUACGUGCCAGCAGCCGCGGUAAAACGU
RNAcentral lists this ribosomal RNA (506 nucleotides) under uncultured bacterium. Its description in RNAcentral is "bacterial SSU rRNA". It matches the Rfam family "Bacterial small subunit ribosomal RNA", at positions 28 to 528 of the family's 1533-position model. The record is from RNAcentral.